RNAcentral lists this ribosomal RNA (440 nucleotides) under uncultured bacterium. RNAcentral describes it as "partial 16S ribosomal RNA". It matches the Rfam family "Bacterial small subunit ribosomal RNA", at positions 338 to 795 of the family's 1533-position model. The record is from RNAcentral.
CCUACGGGUGGCAGCAGUGGGGGAUAUUGCACAAUGGGCGAAACCCUGAUGCAGCGACGCCGCGUGAGUGAAGAAGUAUUUCGGUAUUUAAAACUCUAUCAGCAGGGAAGAAAAUGACAGUACCUGACCAAGCAGCCCGAGCUAACUACGAGCCAGCAGCCGCGGACAUAGGUCGGGGGCACGCGGUAACCGGAUUUACUGGGUGUAAAGGGAGCGUAGACGGGGAUGUAAGGCUGGAGUGAAAGCUCGGGGCCCAACCGCGGGAGUGCUUUGGAAACUGUGUAACUGGAGUACAGGAGGGGCAGGCGGAAUGCCUGGUGUAGCGGUGAAAUGCGUAGAUAUCAGGAAGAACACCGGCGGCGAAGGCGGCCUGCUGGCCUGCAACUGACGUUGAGGCACGAAAGCGUGGGUAUCGAACAGGAUUAGAUACCCGAGUAGUC